Molecule: ribosomal RNA, 327 nt
Filed under: uncultured Pseudomonadota bacterium
Lineage: Bacteria; Pseudomonadati; Pseudomonadota
Description: bacterial SSU rRNA
Rfam family: Bacterial small subunit ribosomal RNA
Source: RNAcentral
AGUGGGGAAUAUUGGUCAAUGGGGGAAACCCUGAUCCAGCGACGCCGCGUGUGUGAAGAAGGCCUGCGGGUUGUAAAGCACUUUUAGUGGGGACAAAAAGUUACGGAUUAAUACUCUGUGGUCUUGAUUUAACCCAAAGAAAAAGCACCGGCUAACUCUGUGCCAGCAGCCGCGGUAAUACAGAGGGUGCGAGCGUUAAUCGGAAUUACUGGGCGUAAAGCGCGCGUAGACGGUUUUGUAAGUCAGAUGUGAAAUCCCUGGGCUCAACCUGGGAACUGCAUUUGAUACUGCAUGGCUAGAGUAUCGAAGAGGGAAGUGGAAUUUCCG